RNAcentral lists this ribosomal RNA (467 nucleotides) under uncultured bacterium. RNAcentral's name for it is "partial 16S ribosomal RNA". It matches the Rfam family "Bacterial small subunit ribosomal RNA", at positions 28 to 506 of the family's 1533-position model. The record is from RNAcentral.
GACGAACGCUGGCGGCGUGCUUAACACAUGCAAGUCGAACGGAAAGGCCCUGCUUUUGUGGGGUGCUCGAGUGGUGAACGGGUGAGUAACACGUGAGUAACCUGCCCUUGACUUUGGGAUAACUUCAGGAAACUGGGGCUAAUACCGGAUAGGAUCUCCUGCUGCAUGGUGGGGGUGGGAAAGUUUCGGCGGUUGGGGAUGGACUCGCGGCUUAUCAGCUUGUUGGUGGGGUAGUGGCUUACCAAGGCUUUGACGGGUAGCCGGCCUGAGAGGGUGACCGGCCACAUUGGGACUGGGAUACGGCCAAGACUCAUACGGGAGGCAGCAGUGGGGAAUAUUGCACAAUGGGCGGAAGCCUGAUGCAGCAACGCCGCGUGCGGGAUGACGGCCUUCGGGUUGUAAACCGCUUUCGCCUGUGACGAAGCGUGAGUGACGGUAAUGGGGAAAGAAGCACCGGCUAACUACGU